AGCCAGCAGCCGCGGUAAUACGUAAGGGGCAAGCGUUGUUCGGAAUUAUUGGGCGUAAAGGGCGUGUAGGCGGAUCUGUAAGUCUGGUGUCAAAGAUCUCGGCUCAACCGAGGAAAGGCGCUGGAAACUGCGGAUCUGGAGUUCAGGAGGGGGAGCUGGAAUUCCUGGUGUAGGGGUGAAAUCUGUAGAUAUCAGGAAGAACACCGGUGGCGAAGGCGAGCUCCUGGCCAUGGACUGACGCUGAGGCGCGAAAGCGUGGGGAGCAAACAGGAUUAGAUACCCUGGUAGUCCACGCUGUAAACGAUGUGCACUAGGUGUGGGUGCUUUCGUAGGCAUCCGUGCCGUAGCCAACGCGAUAAGUGCACCGCCUGGGGAGUAUGCUCGCAAGGGUGAAACUCAAAGGAAUUGACGGGGGCCCGCACA
Molecule: ribosomal RNA, 423 nt
Filed under: uncultured bacterium
Lineage: Bacteria
Description: bacterial SSU rRNA
Rfam family: Bacterial small subunit ribosomal RNA
Source: RNAcentral